Molecule: ribosomal RNA, 654 nt
Filed under: uncultured bacterium
Lineage: Bacteria
Description: bacterial SSU rRNA
Rfam family: Bacterial small subunit ribosomal RNA
Source: RNAcentral
AGUCGAGCGGAGAUGAGGUGCUUGCACCUUAUCUUAGCGGCGGACGGGUGAGUAAUGCUUAGGAAUCUGCCUAUUAGUGGGGGACAACAUUCCGAAAGGGAUGCUAAUACCGCAUACGUCCUACGGGAGAAAGCAGGGGAUCUUCGGACCUUGCGCUAAUAGAUGAGCCUAAGUCGGAUUAGCUAGUUGGUGGGGUAAAGGCCUACCAAGGCGACGAUCUGUAGCGGGUCUGAGAGGAUGAUCCGCCACACUGGGACUGAGACACGGCCCAGACUCCUACGGGAGGCAGCAGUGGGGAAUAUUGGACAAUGGGGGGAACCCUGAUCCAGCCAUGCCGCGUGUGUGAAGAAGGCCUUAUGGUUGUAAAGCACUUUAAGCGAGGAGGAGGCUACUGAGACUAAUACUCUUGGAUAGUGGACGUUACUCGCAGAAUAAGCACCGGCUAACUCUGUGCCAGCAGCCGCGGUAAUACAGAGGGUGCGAGCGUUAAUCGGAUUUACUGGGCGUAAAGCGUGCGUAGGCGGCUUUUUAAGUCGGAUGUGAAAUCCCCGAGCUUAACUUGGGAAUUGCAUUCGAUACUGGGAAGCUAGAGUAUGGGAGAGGAUGGUAGAAUUCCAGGUGUAGCGGUGAAAUGCGUAGAGAUCUGGAGGAAUA